RNAcentral lists this ribosomal RNA (321 nucleotides) under uncultured bacterium. Its description in RNAcentral is "bacterial SSU rRNA". It matches the Rfam family "Bacterial small subunit ribosomal RNA", at positions 774 to 1076 of the family's 1533-position model. The record is from RNAcentral.
AGAUAAUAGAUACCCUGGUAGUCCACGCCCUAAACGAUGGAUACUAAGUAGGGGACCCUGCAAGGGGUUCCUUGCCGGAGCGAAAAAGCGUUAAAGUAUCCCGCCUGGGGUAGUAUGGUCGCAAGGCUGAGACUCAAAGGAAUUGACGGGGGUCUCACACAAGCGGUGGAGCAUGUUGCUUAAUUCGAUGCAACGCGAAGAACCCUUACCCGGGCUCGAAGUGUACGGAUUAGUUCUAUGAAACGUAGAAUGACACCUUAAACCGGGUGGAACGUACAAACGGUGUUGCAUGGCUGUCGUCAGCUCGUGUCGUGAGAUGUC